CAUCAGCAACGAACUCGCACUUCUACGCAGUGCUGAUGACUAGUAGCCUUCGGGUGAAGCUAAGACGAGU
This 70-nucleotide non-coding RNA is filed under the name Aspergillus flavus NRRL3357. The record is from RNAcentral. RNAcentral also lists the same sequence under 1 other name. Lineage: Eukaryota; Fungi; Ascomycota; Eurotiomycetes; Eurotiales; Aspergillaceae.